GGGGUGUUAGCUCAGUGGAUAGAGCAUUGGUCUUCGGAACCAAGGGUCGGGAGUUCGAAUCUCUCACGCCCCGCCA
This 76-nucleotide transfer RNA is filed under the name Acidobacteriota bacterium. RNAcentral describes it as "tRNA-Arg". It matches the Rfam family "tRNA". Rfam says of the family: Transfer RNA (tRNA) molecules are approximately 80 nucleotides in length. Their secondary structure includes four short double-helical elements and three loops (D, anti-codon, and T loops). The record is from RNAcentral. Lineage: Bacteria; Pseudomonadati; Acidobacteriota.